GUACACAAAAAUGCACAUGCUGUGAGCUCGAUGAGUAGGGCGGGACACGUGGUAUCCUGUCUGAAUAUGGGGGGACCAUCCUCCAAGGCUAAAUACUCCUGACUGACCGAUAGUGAACCAGUACCGUGAGGGAAAGGCGAAAAGAACCCCGGCGAGGGGAGUGAAAAAGAACCUGAAACCGUGUACGUACAAGCAGUGGGAGCACGCUUAGGCGUGUGACUGCGUACCUUUUGUAUAAUGGGUCAGCGACUUAUAUUCUGUAGCAAGGUUAACCGAAUAGGGGAGCCGAAGGGAAACCGAGUCUUAACUGGGCGUUAAGUUGCAGGGUAUAGACCCGAAACCCGGUGAUCUAGCCAUGGGCAGGUUGAAGGUUGGGUAACACUAACUGGAGGACCGAACCGACUAAUGUUGAAAAAUUAGCGGAUGACUUGUGGCUGGGGGUGAAAGGCCAAUCAAACCGGGAGAUAGCUGGUUCUCCCCGAAAGCUAUUUAGGUAGCGCCUCGUGAAUUCAUCUCCGGGGGUAGAGCACUGUUUCGGCAAGGGGGUCAUCCCGACUUACCAACCCGAUGCAAACUGCGAAUACCGGAGAAUGUUAUCACGGGAGACACACGGCGGGUGCUAACGUCCGUCGUGAAGAGGGAAACAACCCAGACCGCCAGCUAAGGUCCCAAAGUCAUGGUUAAGUGGGAAACGAUGUGGGAAGGCCCAGACAGCCAGGAUGUUGGCUUAGAAGCAGCCAUCAUUUAAAGAAAGCGUAAUAGCUCACUGGUCGAGUCGGCCUGCGCGGAAGAUGUAACGGGGCUAAACCAUGCACCGAAGCUGCGGCAGCGACACUGUGUGUUGUUGGGUAGGGGAGCGUUCUGUAAGCCUGCGAAGGUGUGCUGUGAGGCAUGCUGGAGGUAUCAGAAGUGCGAAUGCUGACAUAAGUAACGAUAAAGCGGGUGAAAAGCCCGCUCGCCGGAAGACCAAGGGUUCCUGUCCAACGUUAAUCGGGGCAGGGUGAGUCGACCCCUAAGGCGAGGCCGAAAGGCGUAGUCGAUGGGAAACAGGUUAAUAUUCCUGUACUUGGUGUUACUGCGAAGGGGGGACGGAGAAGGCUAUGUUGGCCGGGCGACGGUUGUCCCGGUUUAAGCGUGUAGGCUGGUUUUCCAGGCAAAUCCGGAAAAUCAAGGCUGAGGCGUGAUGACGAGGCACUACGGUGCUGAAGCAACAAAUGCCCUGCUUCCAGGAAAAGCCUCUAAGCAUCAGGUAACAUCAAAUCGUACCCCAAACCGACACAGGUGGUCAGGUAGAGAAUACCAAGGCGCUUGAGAGAACUCGGGUGAAGGAACUAGGCAAAAUGGUGCCGUAACUUCGGGAGAAGGCACGCUGAUAUGUAGGUGAAGUCCCUCGCGGAUGGAGCUGAAAUCAGUCGAAGAUACCAGCUGGCUGCAACUGUUUAUUAAAAACACAGCACUGUGCAAACACGAAAGUGGACGUAUACGGUGUGACGCCUGCCCGGUGCCGGAAGGUUAAUUGAUGGGGUCAGCGCAAGCGAAGCUCUUGAUCGAAGCCCCGGUAAACGGCGGCCGUAACUAUAACGGUCCUAAGGUAGCGAAAUUCCUUGUCGGGUAAGUUCCGACCUGCACGAAUGGCGUAAUGAUGGCCAGGCUGUCUCCACCCGAGACUCAGUGAAAUUGAACUCGCUGUGAAGAUGCAGUGUACCCGCGGCAAGACGGAAAGACCCCGUGAACCUUUACUAUAGCUUGACACUGAACAUUGAGCCUUGAUGUGUAGGAUAGGUGGGAGGCUUUGAAGUGUGGACGCCAGUCUGCAUGGAGCCGACCUUGAAAUACCACCCUUUAAUGUUUGAUGUUCUAACGUUGACCCGU
Molecule: ribosomal RNA, 1872 nt
Filed under: Escherichia coli
Lineage: Bacteria; Pseudomonadati; Pseudomonadota; Gammaproteobacteria; Enterobacterales; Enterobacteriaceae
Description: partial 23S ribosomal RNA
Rfam family: Bacterial large subunit ribosomal RNA
Source: RNAcentral